CCACCCGAUCCCCUCCUUCCCCGCCCCCUCCAUGACCGCCGCCGCCCCCUGGUGCGGGCGCACCUCCCGCCGCCGGCCACCCCCACCCUGGAGCACACGAACGCAGUCGGUUGCCACGCUACCUCCCGCUCCACCCUCCGCUACGGCGGCCGCCUGCUGCCUUCUAUCUCCGCGCACGCACCGCCCUCCUCGCAUGGAUCCACCCCUUGUGCCACCCGAUCCUGGGUCCGGUCGCUGCGCCGCCCUUGGAUCCGGCCGCCGUGCUGCCCCCGCGACCGGAUCCAGCCGCCGUCAACACACGCUGCCACCUCCUACUGCUGCCCGCCAUCAGUCGACUUUCGAUGCUGGUGAGCUAGAAGGUGCAAGUAGGAAGCUACCCGUGCAUAAACAAUGGAGAUUUUUUUGCAAAAAAAGGGGUUGUCCGUUCUAGUCGAAGUAGACCAAGCUAUGGAAGAACAGGGUCUCACUUGUGUGUGCUUUUUAGUUCAUCUUCUAUGGAUGAUUGUACCGCUGUUGUUGAUUUGUUGGUGACAUGUGAUGUAUUUGCUUGAUGUAAUGCCUGAGAACAAAGUUCUGCUAUGCCUGAGAAUAUGUGCAGUACGUGGCUGGUGUUUAUGCAAAUUUUAGUCAAAAAAAGAAUUUUUUGAUGAUAUGCA
Triticum dicoccoides is the source of this 656-nucleotide long non-coding RNA. RefSeq lists it as uncharacterized. The record is from RefSeq and is a predicted model, not a curated record. The transcript has 2 exons. NCBI's taxonomy places the organism in Eukaryota, Viridiplantae, Streptophyta, Magnoliopsida, Poales, Poaceae.